CUGGCUCAGGAUGAACGCUGGCGGCGUGCCUAACACAUGCAAGUCGAACGGAAAUUACAGAAGGAAGUUUUCGGAUGGAAUUUUGUAAUUUUAGUGGCGGACGGGUGAGUAACACGUGGGUAACCUG
This 127-nucleotide ribosomal RNA is filed under the name [Clostridium] aminophilum. RNAcentral's name for it is "16S rRNA. Bacterial SSU". It matches the Rfam family "Bacterial small subunit ribosomal RNA", at positions 19 to 128 of the family's 1533-position model. The record is from RNAcentral. Lineage: Bacteria; Bacillati; Bacillota; Clostridia; Lachnospirales; Lachnospiraceae.